RNAcentral lists this ribosomal RNA (253 nucleotides) under uncultured bacterium. Its description in RNAcentral is "partial 16S ribosomal RNA". It matches the Rfam family "Bacterial small subunit ribosomal RNA", at positions 524 to 776 of the family's 1533-position model. The record is from RNAcentral.
GACAGAGGGUGCAAACGUUGCUCGGAAUCACUGAGCAUAAAAAGCGUGUAGACGGAACGGUAAGUCAAGCGUGAAAUCCCUAGGCUCAACCUAGGAACUGCACUCGAAACUACCAUUCUUAAGUGUCGGAGAGGAAAGCGGAAUUCCUGGUGUAGAGGUGAAAUUCGUAGAUAUCAGGAGGAACACCAGUGGCGAAGGCGGCUUUCUGGACGAUAACUGACGCUGAGACGCGAAAGCGUAGAGAACAAACAGG